AUCAACAGAAGAAGCACCGGCUAACUACGUGCCAGCAGCCGCGGUAAUACGUAGGGUGCGAGCGUUAAUCGGAAUUACUGGGCGUAAAGGGUGCGCAGGCGGUUCUGUAAGUCAGAUGUGAAAUCCCCGGGCUUAACCUGGGAACUGCGUUUGAAACUACAGAGCUAGAGUGUGGCAGAGGGGGGUGGAAUUCCAUGUGUAGCAGUGAAAUGCGUAGAGAUAUGGAAGAACAUCGAUGGCGAAGGCAGCCCCCUGGGUCAACACUGACGCUCAUGCACGAAAGCGUGGGGAGCAAACAGGAUUAGAUACCCUGGUAGUCCACGCCCUAAACUAUGUCAACUAGUUGUCGGGCCUUAUUAGGUUUGGUAACGUAGCUAACGCGUGAAGUUGACCGCCUGGGGAGUACGGUCGCAAGAUUAAAACUCAAAGGAAUUGACGGGGAC
This 443-nucleotide ribosomal RNA is filed under the name uncultured bacterium. RNAcentral describes it as "bacterial SSU rRNA". It matches the Rfam family "Bacterial small subunit ribosomal RNA", at positions 477 to 920 of the family's 1533-position model. The record is from RNAcentral.